CGCUUCGUCGGUUCCUAUUUCAGUCCACAAGCGUCCUAGGCAUAAUUCUCUUCUCUCUGCCUCUUUCCUUAUCCAGUCGCUACAUGAGAGCACCAACAGGAGAAUACGAGCCCAACGCGGAGGCGGGGGAGCGGUCGCCGGAUCUUAGUCGGCGCCUCGGCGUUGGCGGAGACGACACCGAAUCUUAGGGUGAGGUGGGGCUAACGCCAAAUCUUGGUUGCUGCAGGGUGGGGCAGUGAAGCAGCGCCACGACCGCGGGCAUCGGAGGACAACCCGAUGGGCCAGCGGCGGCCGGCGGCUCGACGAGCAAAUGAUGCAAUGGAGGCGGCGAGGAGGCUAGAGGAACCGUGGGAGAGGGGAAGAUGGUGCCCCCUUCAGCGCCUUGCUUUCUCUUCAUCGUUGGCAUCGUCUCGACUAGGCCCAAGUGAGGCGCGAGGAUGGCUCGACCUUGGCGCUAGCCUUCGCGCCGGUGAUGCUCUGCCACCGCGAGAGACCGCGGCUGUAGCCGAGAUGACGAGGCGGAGGCGGUACCGUACCAGGUGAAUAAUCCCCUUCUCAUUUCUCUACAGCUCUCAUGUCUUGACGCGAUCAACGCCCCUGCAUGCGAAGAUUCGCCCAAAGAGGGCGCACUACAUGUUCCUAUUUUCCCCCACUGGCAUACAGGCAUAAGAGAUUAUGUUGAUUAGUGAUUCAGAAUGUCUGUAAUUCUGCAUACUGCAAUUUGGAUUGGUAGUGCGGAUGAGGGGGAGGAUUGGCAGCGCCUCUUCUCCUCACGACAGAGAUGGUGCUAAUUCUCCAAGGUCAGAUUGCAUUUUUUUUGUGUAUACGGAAGUGUCAGUUUUUACCGCAAAAUGUAUACUACAAAAGACGAAUCUUUACUCCUUAUACAGAUCCACUUUUCAUAGUUUUACCUGUACAGAAUGAAAUGCAGUCAAAAGCUUUUAUUGGACUUAGGAAUAGUUUGGUUUCAUGCUUGACCAAGAUUCAUUGAGACAAUCAUGUUCGAUACAUAUUUCUACAACGUCACCUGCAAUAACUGUUUCUGGGUAUACUAUAUACAUGAUACAUAACACAACUACUCUCUCUGGUUAAACUCACGGCAUUUUUUGUGUGUGUUUGGGGGGACAUUUGUCCUUACGAGGAAGUAUGUUUUCUCUCAACUCUUUGAUUUUCUUUGUUUGGAGGUUUCUCUAUGUUAACUUGCGAAUGCGAUCAGGGAAUGUCCAAAUUCAGUGGUGCAUGAUGUGCACAUAUUUCUUCCCCUGUUGAUGUUACUUUCAGUUCAUUUUCAGCGGACUUUGGAAUGCCUGCCCUUUUGUAGGUUUCUCUUUUUUCAGCUUGAAUAGUAAAUAAAACGAGUUGAAAACGCAGAGGUAUAUGUUUUGUACACCUUUCCUUAGUUCUGUGGCAUGAUGUUGUUGGGAAGCUGGGGUAGCAAGAUGUACAAGGGUUCUAUGGAUGUCAUUGCAACCCUCCAAUAUUCCAGAUCAAACUGUACCAUAUACUUAACCCUGUUUGUUAAGAGCUAAAGGUCUAUUUUGGGACUCUUUUUUGAAAAUAUGAUACUAAUAUUUAGAUAAAAAUUGUACGAUUUAUAGUGCAAUUGUCACAAAUUUUAAGUUGAUAGGUUGAAAUUACACUGUUUAUACAAUGUGAUAUGUGCCGAUGGACCUAGGGAUCAGGUCGUGUUCUGUGUGUAUUAUUUUUUUUUUGUGUGUGCUCAUCUUCAUUUUGAUUAUUACUUAUGGUCCUGUCGUACUCACUUUGUCCUACAUCCAAUCAUCCAAAUGUGAUGUACCCAAAAAGGAACCUACACGCGAAGAGCAAAAGCGGGCGCAGCAAAGCAUGCAAGGUUCUUCUAGUGCAAGAGAAAGGCGUUGCAUUUGUUCAGUUUUAUACAUUUCCUUUAUUUAUAGGAGAGCCUACUCAGGUAUGAAUAUAUAUUUUUCCCUUUUGGUUUCAGAAAAUCUACAAUACAUUCUAUGUUUAGAAAAGGUUGCAACCUUUUUCCAGUGUUUACAUUUCUCGGCCCCACACUCUUUCAGCUAAAUAGUUCAGUGGCAUAUAUCUCUAUUGAAGUGUUAGAAUAACAGUACAUUAGUUAGGCAAAUGUCCAUGCGAACUUAUAUUUACAGCACGUUCCGUUAUGUGCAGAGUGCAGUCUGUCAAUUCCUAGAGUUUUUCAGACUUUAAUUUACCCUUGAGAUAUAUUUUCUUUGGUCCAACUUGUUUUGAUAAUAGUAAACUACUAUAGAAGGUAUUGCUUUUGGUUGAUGAAGUUCACUGAAACAAAUGUACCUUCCAGUUAGUGUAGGAAAUCUUUCGUUAUUUACGGCAUUCAUCUGAAAAAAAAUCUGUGCAUGGAGGAGGCAAAAUGUCUUCUAUUGUGUUACUUUAUGUCUUUCGAACAUGUGAUGCUGCAAGAAAAUUUUCUCCAGUUUUAUGUUAGAUCUUAUUUUCAAAGUGAUGCAUGAUCAUGUCCCUACUCCCUAAUCCACCUAGAAGACUGCUGUAGUGACUGUAUCUUUGGUUCCGCUUCACACACCUCACUUACAGUCUAAUUUUUGCCUUUCACGACAAGGACUGUAUGAAGUAUACUUAUUUGUUCAGAUACUUCAGUAUCGGAAAAUCUAUUGCAAUUCAUAUAUUUUACGGCAUUUCCCAGGCCAUGUAUAUAUUCUAGAGUAUAGUUACAAUGAACUAGGGUGAAAAUACAGGCAUGCACCUUUCUUUGCAGGCUCUUGUGAAUGGUGUCCCCUGAGCUACGCCCUUUACUAUGACCGAGUGAGGCUCUUGUGAAUGGUGUCCCCUGAGCUACGCCCUUUACUAUGACCGAGUGAGCCAGAGGCACAUCACAGAAUUAAAGUGGAUUUGUAUUAUUUGUUGUACUAUAUGUAUGUACUGAACAAACUAUUCUAAGCUCUCAUACUUGAUAUGUAUUAUUUGUUGUACUAUAUGUAUGUACUGAACAAACUAUCCGAAGCUCUCAUACUUGAGAUUAAAAUCAAUAGAAUCAUUAUUUCCGUAGAUAUUUUUCUGAAUUGACGAUGUGUGUUCUAAAUUACUGUAACUUGGUAGAGUUGUUGUUUCUGAAGAGUUGGUAGAGAGGUU
This is a long non-coding RNA of Lolium rigidum, 3111 nucleotides long. RefSeq lists it as uncharacterized. NCBI's taxonomy places the organism in Eukaryota, Viridiplantae, Streptophyta, Magnoliopsida, Poales, Poaceae. The record is from RefSeq and is a predicted model, not a curated record. The transcript is spliced from 2 exons.